RNAcentral lists this ribosomal RNA (253 nucleotides) under uncultured prokaryote. RNAcentral describes it as "partial 16S ribosomal RNA". It matches the Rfam family "Bacterial small subunit ribosomal RNA", at positions 524 to 776 of the family's 1533-position model. The record is from RNAcentral.
UACGUAUGGGGCAAGCGUUGUUCGGAAUUAUUGGGCGUAAAGGGCUCGCAGGUGGUUUGUUAAGUUGGUGGUUUAAUCUCUGGGCUCAACCCGGAGUCAGCCUCCAAAACUGGCGAACUUGAGUACGAUAGGGGAUAGCGGAAUUCUCGGUGUAGCGGUGGAAUGCGUAGAUAUCAGGAGGAACACCUAUAGCGAAGGCAGCUUGCUGGGACGUUACUGACGCUAAGGCGCGAAAGCGUGGGGAGCGAACAGG